GUCUACGGCCAUACCACCCUGAACGCGCCCGAUCUCGUCUGAUCUCGGAAGCUAAGCAGGGUCGGGCCUGGUUAGUACUUGGAUGGGAGGACUUAUGAGAGCGAUGUUGGAAGUGACC
Molecule: ribosomal RNA, 118 nt
Filed under: Vulpes vulpes (red fox)
Lineage: Eukaryota; Metazoa; Chordata; Mammalia; Carnivora; Canidae
Source: RNAcentral